GCAAGUCAAGGAGAAAGCUUUCUUCGGAAAGUGAUUAAACUGGCGAACGGGUGAGUAACGCGUAGGCAACCUGCCCUAUAGUUUGGGAUAACAUCGGGAAACUGAUGCUAAUACCGGAUGAUGCAACAUUUUCUUCGGAAAAAGUUGUUAAAGCGGGCUUCGGCUCGCGCUUUAGGAUGGGCCUGCGUCCGAUUAGCUUGUUGGUAAGGUAAUGGCUUACCAAGGCAAUGAUCGGUAGCUGGUCUGAGAGGAUGAUC
Molecule: ribosomal RNA, 257 nt
Filed under: uncultured bacterium
Lineage: Bacteria
Description: partial 16S ribosomal RNA
Rfam family: Bacterial small subunit ribosomal RNA
Source: RNAcentral